RNAcentral lists this long non-coding RNA (2757 nucleotides) under Homo sapiens (human). RNAcentral describes it as "long non-coding RNA NONHSAT158688.1". Lineage: Eukaryota; Metazoa; Chordata; Mammalia; Primates; Hominidae. The record is from RNAcentral.
ACUCCACGGUCUUGUGAUGCCGCUCGGAAUGCUUUCCAGAGGACUCUGGGCUCCCUGUGUCCAGCUGUGGCCAGGGCCGGGGCUGCCUGUGGACCACGCUCUGCUUGAUGGCCACUCCAGCUCCAGACCCCAGCCCUGCCCCCGUCCAGCCUCACAAGGCAGUGCAGCAGGGAGCCCCUCUUGCCUCCCAGUACCCAGGCUCAGUUCAUGGCAGGACAGUGAUGGCUGCCUCAACCCCAACGCAUUCUACAGAUCAGAGAACGCGCAUUGGAAGGUUUAAGAGACUUAUCCAGGGACACUAAAUGGUCCUUUAGUGUCCUGCGUCUUCACUUGCCAAGGUUCAGAGAGGUCGCUUGGGUCCAUCAGAGUCUCUGCCGUCACUACCUGCAAGAGGGGACCGGAAGCCAGUGGGCAGGGGCUGGGUGCUCCCCUACAGCACCUCUCCUCUUUGACCUCACCUGUGCUUUGAGGCCUCCUGAUUCCUCCCUGCUGGAGCCCAGAGUUCCAGAGGCACCUGAGCAGGGCAGGCUUCCAGGCAGGCCAGGGCGCCCCAGCAGAGGCACCCGACGAGAUGGGGAGGGCUGGGGAGGGCAGCCUGGGGCAGGAGGGCUUGGGGGACAGGCUCACCUCCACACUGCCAGUCUGGGAUCGUAGCAUGCGGCCCACCCACGAGGAGCGGGCCAGCUGCAGGAGGCAGGACUUCUGCAAGUUCUGCAGCUCGGCCUCCAUCUCCUGGAGCGUGCGGGUGGUCUGCAGCAGCCGCUCCUCCAGGUGCUCCUUCUCCUGCUCCGAGAGGGCCUGUGGUUGGUGGUGGGGGGGUGUCUUCUGCAGAAGGCCCCCAGGCCAGCCCCAGCCUGGCUCCCCAACACCAGGACCCUGCCCACUCCCUGUGCCCCUGCCUCACCCACUGGGCUCGCUCCUUCUGUUCCUUCAACUCCUGGAUCAGCUUCUGGACCUGGUUCUGCAGGAGUUUCUCCUGACUGUGGGAGCUCCUGGAGGAGGGGUGACCUCAGCAGCCCCCACCCUGCUCAGGCAGGGGUUCCUAAUGUCAGGUCAGUGGCGAAGGAGGGGAGAAGGAGGGGCUCCACUGCCACCUUGGCCCCAAGGGCACACAGUACAGCCCCGCUGGGGCUGGCCAGCCUCCGGCUGGUCUGGACAAGGGUCUAGCACCCAUCCACAUGCGCAGGGUUAGGGUGGAGGCUAUAGCGUGUUAACUUAGGAUCAGGGUGGAGGGUCAGCGCGGGCAAGGAUGAGGGUAAGGAUCUGCCUCAGCGGUUGGGGUUGGGGUCAGACAGAAACCAGGAGUCCGGGCGAGGACAGGGCGGGGUUGGGUUGGGCUGGGGACUGUGCUGCAGACCUCUUGGGCGGAAGCCCCGCCACCUCUUCCAGGAUGUGGCAGAGCCGGGCGUCCUCGCCAUUCUGGAUGGCCCACCGCAAGGCCUGGAUCUCCAGUUCUCGCUGUCUCCACAGCAGCCGCAGUGUGCGAGGGUCCAGGGACUCAAGAGCCAACCUGCAGCGGCAGCAGACCCUGCUGCUUACUCAGGCCGGCCCCUGGCCACCUGGCCCAGGAGGCUCACCAGUCCUCCCUCUCCUCCUUACUGCGGGUCGGCAGAGCAGACCACCGGUGCGGGGUGGGGCGUGGUGUCUGGCAGGCACGUGGGAGUCUCGGGGGCUGCAGGUGCGCCUGCUGGAGGUCCCAGGUGACCACUGACCGACUCUUGCUCUGUGGGGGACAGGAGAGCCUCUUCCUCGGUUUCUUCAACCUCCUGGCCAGACUUGGGGGCCAUUCUCAAUGUUCUUCGGGAGCUGGGAGGGGUGGGGGGCCCGUCUGCCGUGUGCGCCUCGUGUGGCCACACAGGUUGGAGCAGCCCAGGCGUCACCACUUACUCACAGAGCGUUGCUCUCUGAAGGGACCCACAUGUGGGUGUCCACACCCGUGUGUUUCUGACCAGGCUGGCGCAGCAGGUCACCACCCGACAUGUCCCUGGCGUGUACCCCUGCCACCCAGGUGCUGGCCCUUUGCCUGUGAUGUGGUGUCCCUCUUUCUCUCUCUUGUCCCCCCAGCUCAGGGCCCUACCCCCAGCACUCACCUGAGGCCCGACCUCCAAGCAGGCCUGGGAGGGAAGGGCUGUAUACCGUUGCCAUGGAUACCAGCACCCAGAAGGGGUGGGGCUGUUUGUUACCAGGAGCCUCCAGGGAGACCCCAGACCAGGCCCCUAGGUGAGUUCUGGGCCAGCCCAGCCUGGAGGAGGUGUGAGAGGCUGAGCCACUGCUCAGCUUAGCGGGGGGACCACUUAGUGACCAACACCCUGAGGGAGGCCCCAGCAUCCCCUACCUAGCCUGGCAGCAGCAGCGGGAUAAAUAGGGGGGCACUGCUGCCUGUGAGCCAGCCCAGCAUAGCCAUGGGUGUGUGGGGGAAGCAGACAGGGACAGGGUCUUGCUCCGCUGUCCAGGCUGGAAUGCUUCGGUGUGAUGACAGCGCACGUUAACCUCGAAUUCCUGGGCUCAGGUGAUCCUCCCACUUCCGCCUCCUGACUUGCUGAAACUACAGGCACCCGCCUCCACCGCCAGGCCCAGCCCACAGCUCCUUUGACCUCAGUGACAGGCACUCACCUACCUGACCCCCAAACUGAAGCCUCACUUUUCCCAGCCGUGUCCACACCCUCUGGGCUACCCCAUUACCAUGACAAGUAUUCCCUCUGCUCCAGGAGAAAAGCCAGGUCCCAGACCUGACCCAUUAAAACCCAAUCAUUCCAG